CAGUCAGGGGGUCGUAGCAAUACGGCAACCGGCGAACGGGUGCGUAACGCGUAUACAAUCUGCCUAUAUCUGGUGAAUAGCUCUGCGAAAGUAGAAUUAAUACACCAUAUUAUCAUUUGACGGCAUCGUUGUGUGAUGAAAGGAUUUAUUCGGAUAUAGAUGAGUAUGCGUGACAUUAGCUAGUUGGUGAGGUAACGGCUCACCAAGGCGACGAUGUCUAGGGGUUCUGAGAGGAAUGUCCCCCACACUGGUACUGAGAUACGGACCAGACUCCUACGGGAGGCAGCAGUAGGGAAUAUUGGGCAAUGGGCGAAAGCCUGACCCAGCCAUGCCGCGUGAAGGAAUGAAGGCGUUAUGCGUUGUAAACUUCUUUUAUACAGGAAGAAAAAGCUCUUGCGAGAGAAAUUGACGGUACCGUAUGAAUAAGCAUCGGCUAACUCCGUGCCAGCAGCCGCGGUAAUACGGAGGAUGCAAGCGUUGUCCGGAUUUAUUGGGUUUAAAGGGUGCGUAGGUGGUUAUAUAAGUCCGUGGUAAAAUCCUGCUGCUUAACAGUAGACUUGCCAUGGAUACUGUAUAACUUGAGUACUGAAGAG
RNAcentral lists this ribosomal RNA (593 nucleotides) under uncultured bacterium. RNAcentral describes it as "bacterial SSU rRNA". It matches the Rfam family "Bacterial small subunit ribosomal RNA", at positions 59 to 656 of the family's 1533-position model. The record is from RNAcentral.